AUAUAUCAUCAUCAUCAUCAUCAUUAUCAUCAUCAUGGUCAUCAUCAUCAUCAUCAUCAUUAUUAUCAUUGUCAUCAUCAUCAUCAUCAUCAAUUUUAACAAUUAAAAUAAUUAACUCAGCAUAUUAAUGAGAGGACAUAAAAAUUAAGAGAAAAAAAAAGUACAAAGAUUAUGAAACAGAAAUCAAACAAACAAAACAAUGUUUUUUUUUUUUUAAAAAAAAAUGACAAUUUAUCCAAAACACAAACAAAGAAAAA
Molecule: long non-coding RNA, 257 nt
Organism: Octopus sinensis (East Asian common octopus)
Lineage: Eukaryota; Metazoa; Mollusca; Cephalopoda; Octopoda; Octopodidae
Exons: 3
Source: RefSeq, a predicted model, not a curated record